AUGCUGACUUUGGCAGCACGUAUAUUAAAAUUGGAACGAUGCAGAAAAGAUUAGCAUGGCUUUUGCUCAAAUAUGACAAACAAAUUUGUGUUCUUUAUCUUU
Monodelphis domestica (gray short-tailed opossum) is the source of this 102-nucleotide small nuclear RNA. Lineage: Eukaryota; Metazoa; Chordata; Mammalia; Didelphimorphia; Didelphidae. The record is from Ensembl.